CUAAAAACCCCCCUUUUUUCAAAAUUUAAGACCUCAAAUCAGGUGGGACUACCCGCUGAACUUAAGCAUAUC
This 72-nucleotide ribosomal RNA is filed under the name Puccinia triticina. Its description in RNAcentral is "partial 28S ribosomal RNA". The record is from RNAcentral. Lineage: Eukaryota; Fungi; Basidiomycota; Pucciniomycetes; Pucciniales; Pucciniaceae.